UCAGGUUAUAACUUAGAGAUUAUCAAUAAUUUAAUAAAUUUGGCGGUAUUAAGGUCUAACUAGAGGAAUCUGCCCUGUCAAGGAUAACACACCUAAGGCUUUUCUUCACUUUUUUAGUUAGCAUAUCGCCGUUGUUAGAUAAUUAUUCAAAUAGAUCGUCUUAAUUUUAUUAAGCACUUCAGGUCAAGAUACUACUUAUAGUGAAGUUUGAGAUGGAUUACAAUCUAUAGAUAGAUACGGAAAAUUUUUUAUUUGAAGGUGGAUUUAGUUGUAAGAAUUAAACUAUGUUAUUCUGAAUCAGGUCUUUAAUAUGU
RNAcentral lists this ribosomal RNA (314 nucleotides) under Paramiopsalis eduardoi. Its description in RNAcentral is "partial 12S ribosomal RNA". The record is from RNAcentral. Lineage: Eukaryota; Metazoa; Arthropoda; Arachnida; Opiliones; Sironidae.